UAUAAGUAUAGUUCUGCAUAUCCAAUAUUUGACCGUUCGUUUUAUUUGAAAUUUUUUUAUGAUUAGUAUUUUGUUGUUAUUAGACGAUAGUACAUGAAUAGUAGUACUUUAUGUGUGACUUUUUUCUAUUUUUUCAUAUUUUUUUAAUAAGACGGACGUUCAAACGUUGAAUACGGAUUUCCACGGCUGCACUUAUU
Molecule: non-coding RNA, 197 nt
Organism: Oryza glaberrima (African rice)
Lineage: Eukaryota; Viridiplantae; Streptophyta; Magnoliopsida; Poales; Poaceae
Source: Rfam